AGUGAACGCUGGCGGUAGGCCUAACACAUGCAAGUCGAACGGCAGCACAGUAAGAGCUUGCUCUUACGGGUGGCGAGUGGCGAACGGGUGAGGAAUACAUCGGAAUCUACUUUUUCGUGGGGGAUAACGUAGGGAAACUUACGCUAAUACCGCAUACGACCUACGGGUGAAAGCAGGGGAUCUUCGGCCCUUGCGCGAUUGAAUGAGCCGAUGUCGGAUUAGCUAGUUGGCGGGGUAAAGGCCCACCAAGGCGACGAUCCGUAGCUGGUCUGAGAGGAUGAUCAGCCACACUGGAACUGAGACACGGUCCAGACUCCUACGGGAGGCAGCAGUCGAGAAUAUUGGACAAUGGGCGAAAGCCUGAUCCAGCCAUACCGCGUGGGGGAAGAAGGCCUUCGGGUUGUAAAGCCCUGUUGUUGGGAAAGAAAAGCAGCAGGUUAAUACCCCGCGGUUCUGACGGUACCCAAAGAAUAAGCACCGGCUAACUUCGUG
Molecule: ribosomal RNA, 492 nt
Filed under: uncultured bacterium
Lineage: Bacteria
Description: partial 16S ribosomal RNA
Rfam family: Bacterial small subunit ribosomal RNA
Source: RNAcentral